UAGGGAAUCUUCCACAAUGGACGCAAGUCUGAUGGAGCAACGCCGCGUGAGUGAAGAAGGCUUUCGGGUCGUAAAACUCUGUUAUUGAAGAAGAACGUGCGUGACAGUAACUGGUCAUGCAGUGACGGUAUUCAAUCAGAAAGUCACGGCUAACUACGUGCCAGCAGCCGCGGUAAUACGUAGGUGGCAAGCGUUGUCCGGAUUUAUUGGGCGUAAAGCGAGUGCAGGCGGUCUUUUAAGUCUGAUGUGAAAGCCUUCGGCUUAACCGAAGAAGGGCAUCGGAAACUGGGAGACUUGAGUGCAGAAGAGGAGAGUGGAACUCCAUGUGUAGCGGUGAAAUGCGUAGAUAUAUGGAAGAACACCAGUGGCGAAGGCGGCUCUCUGGUCUGUAACUGACGCUGAGGCUCGAAAGCGUGGGUAGCAAACAGGAUUAGAUACCCUGGUAGU
This 447-nucleotide ribosomal RNA is filed under the name uncultured bacterium. Its description in RNAcentral is "partial 16S ribosomal RNA". It matches the Rfam family "Bacterial small subunit ribosomal RNA", at positions 355 to 794 of the family's 1533-position model. The record is from RNAcentral.